GGGGCAUUAGCUCAGUUGGCUAGAGCGUCUGCAUGGCAUGCAGAAGGCCAUCGGUUCGACUCCGAUAUGCUCCACCA
This 77-nucleotide transfer RNA is filed under the name Lentisphaerota bacterium. Its description in RNAcentral is "Lentisphaerae bacterium (anaerobic digester metagenome) tRNA-Ala". It matches the Rfam family "tRNA". Rfam says of the family: Transfer RNA (tRNA) molecules are approximately 80 nucleotides in length. Their secondary structure includes four short double-helical elements and three loops (D, anti-codon, and T loops). RNAcentral also lists the same sequence under 1 other name. The record is from RNAcentral. Lineage: Bacteria; Pseudomonadati; Lentisphaerota.